GACGAACGCUGGCGGCGUGCCUAAUACAUGCAAGUCGAACGCAGUGGGAGCGGGUGAGUAACACGUGGGUAACCUCCCAUCAGAGGGGAGAACACUUGGACACAGGUGCUAAACCCAUACUGAUGGAUGUACCCGCGGGGCAUUAGCUAGUGGGUGAGGGAACGGCUCACCAAGGCCACGAUGCAUAGCCGAUCUGAGAGGGUGAUCGGCCACACUGGGACUGAGACACGGACCAGACUCCUACGGGAGGCAGCAGUAGGGAAUCUUCGGCAAUGGACGAAAGUCUGACCGAGCAACGCCGCGUGAGUGAAGAAGGGUUUCGGAUCGUAAAGCUCUGUUGGCAGAGAAGCGGUAUCUAAACAGAAAGCCACGGCUAACUACGUGCCAGCAGCCGCGGUAAUAC
This 403-nucleotide ribosomal RNA is filed under the name uncultured bacterium. RNAcentral's name for it is "partial 16S ribosomal RNA". It matches the Rfam family "Bacterial small subunit ribosomal RNA", at positions 28 to 526 of the family's 1533-position model. The record is from RNAcentral.